RNAcentral lists this ribosomal RNA (255 nucleotides) under uncultured bacterium. RNAcentral's name for it is "partial 16S ribosomal RNA". It matches the Rfam family "Bacterial small subunit ribosomal RNA", at positions 524 to 776 of the family's 1533-position model. The record is from RNAcentral.
UACGGGGGGGGGCAAGCGUUGUUCGGAAUUACUGGGCGUAAAGGGCUCGUAGGCGGCCAACUAAGUCAGACGUGAAAUCCCUCGGCUUAACCGGGGAACGGCCUCUGAUACUGGCUGGCUGGAGUUCGGGAGAGGGAUGCGGAAUUCCAGGUGUAGCGGUGAAAUGCGUAGAUAUCUGGAGGAACACCGGUGGCGAAGGCGGCAUCCUGGACCGACACUGGACGCUGAGGAGCGAAAGCCAGGGGAGCAAACGGG